RNAcentral lists this ribosomal RNA (425 nucleotides) under uncultured Muribaculaceae bacterium. Its description in RNAcentral is "bacterial SSU rRNA". It matches the Rfam family "Bacterial small subunit ribosomal RNA", at positions 354 to 776 of the family's 1533-position model. The record is from RNAcentral. Lineage: Bacteria; Pseudomonadati; Bacteroidota; Bacteroidia; Bacteroidales; Muribaculaceae.
GUGAGGAAUAUUGGUCAAUGGGCGGAAGCCUGAACCAGCCAAGUCGCGUGAGGGAUUAAGGCCCUGCGGGUCGUAAACCUCUUUUGCCGGGGAGCAGUGGUCCGGACGUGUCCGGGCCGGGAGAGUACCCGGAGAAAAAGCAUCGGCUAACUCCGUGCCAGCAGCCGCGGUAAUACGGAGGAUGCGAGCGUUAUCCGGAUUUAUUGGGUUUAAAGGGUGCGUAGGCGGGCAUUUAAGCCGGCGGUCAAAUGUCGGGGCUCAACCCCGGCCUGCCGUCGGAACUGGGUGCCUUGAGUGGGCGAGAAGUAUGCGGAAUGCGUGGUGUAGCGGUGAAAUGCAUAGAUAUCACGCAGAACCCCGAUUGCGAAGGCAGCAUACCGGCGCCCUACUGACGCUGAGGCACGAAAGUGCGGGUAUCGAACAGG